Molecule: long non-coding RNA, 356 nt
Filed under: Vigna radiata
Lineage: Eukaryota; Viridiplantae; Streptophyta; Magnoliopsida; Fabales; Fabaceae
Description: long non-coding RNA (VRAD_LNC011672)
Source: RNAcentral
CGACGACGACACUCCGACGGACAAAGGACCACGACACUCUAAGGAAGACGAACCACAAUGGUUGGGAUUGGGAGUAUACGUAAACGACAAUAGCUCAAAACGUGCUUUUGUGGGUGGCGGUUCAAAUCAAAGCUUCCAACGCCGCCGAUCACCGGAACGAACACCACUUCGUCACACGAAACUCCAGCGGACCAUGCUUGCACCAACACGUUUUUGGGAGGAGGCAGGUUGGCUAGGUGGGAGGGAGCAAGACUCACUCUAGGGUUCGCUUUCUUUCUCUAAGCUUGGGUUCUUUGUCACCUUGCCUUAGAUUCAAAUUCUGAAGAGAGAAAAUGAACCUCCUCACUUUCAAACCC